ACAGCCCGCACCCACCUACCAAUCCUCGACCCCCUCCACCCAAAACAAAAUCAGUGGCCGCAGCCAGCUCAGCGGACCGCAGGUGCGCGUUCGGCUAUAACUCUCAUUUUCAGCAAGCUCGCCGGCGAGUGAGUGAAGAAUGGAAUCAUGGGAAACAGCGGUGGCUCUCAUAAACAUUUUACAAGGAUGAUUACGUACUGGUUAGACUGGAGAAAUCUCCAGCCAUGGUGAAAUCAAUCACAGACGGACACCCUCUAUCGUAACCGCAAACAAUGCUCUACUCUGAGCAGGUCCUGAAUGGUCUAGACUUGGAGAACAGACAAACCUGGAUCUUCAGAAAUUACAGCAUCUCCCGUACACGAGCAGGCCUGUCAACUCCCCUUAAAGCCCAAGAGGAUGAUUAAUGGGCAGGUAAAGACUUUCCGAGCCAUGUCUAGAUUCCUCAGCUAGGCCUCAGCGUGCAGAUAAAAGUCAAAGCGGAUCACAGAACCAAAAGCAUUCUCCUGCUAGAACAAAAAGCCUCGUCACACAGAAAGCUUUCUGCAUUCUCUGCAAUCCCCAACACGUUCAGGCAGGUAACGGAUAUCCCGGGAAACAGCCAGUGGUCUGUCAGCUUGCUUCAUCAAUUUGGACCUGAAGACAGUGAUUUCACCCCAUGUGCCUCUGAAUAGAGUGAAGCGACAUCAAAGACGCACUGAGCAAAUAAGCUGUAUGCAAACGAGUGAGCCAGAGAGAUGGGUUAAUUGGGGAAAGGAGAGUUCCAGCAAUCUGUUUCAUUGCUUUUUGCUCUCUGCAUUGGAAAGAUGCUAGACAUGGAAGCAUGGAAGUUUUCCCCAUGGAAGAUGGAGCUGAAUGCGGCUUGUUUGUUGUAUUGCGCUUCUGUAUCUGCAGGACUGAAGCCAACGGUUUGUUCACAGUGAGGUCUCGAUCUCAACACUGAGCUCUUGGAUUUCUUUAGUCAAUGUGGGAAUGAAAGUAUGUUGUGAUACAGUCAGUGAGAGAUUAUGUCCAUCUAUCCUUCUGUGUCUAUUUAAUCACAGAUAAUAAAACAACAAAUGAUAGUAAUACA
Cyprinus carpio (common carp) is the source of this 1069-nucleotide long non-coding RNA. NCBI's taxonomy places the organism in Eukaryota, Metazoa, Chordata, Actinopteri, Cypriniformes, Cyprinidae. The record is from Ensembl.